RNAcentral lists this ribosomal RNA (945 nucleotides) under uncultured Flavobacteriaceae bacterium. RNAcentral describes it as "bacterial SSU rRNA". It matches the Rfam family "Bacterial small subunit ribosomal RNA", at positions 48 to 999 of the family's 1533-position model. The record is from RNAcentral. Lineage: Bacteria; Pseudomonadati; Bacteroidota; Flavobacteriia; Flavobacteriales; Flavobacteriaceae.
CUUACACAUGCAAGUCGAGGGGUAUAGUUCUUCGGAGCUAGAGACCGGCGCACGGGUGCGUAACGCGUAUGCAAUCUACCUUUUACAGAGGGAUAGCCCAGAGAAAUUUGGAUUAAUACCUCAUAGUAUGUGAGAAUCGCAUGGUUUUCACAUUAAAGUCACAACGGUAAAAGAUGAGCAUGCGUCCCAUUAGCUAGAUGGUAAGGUAACGGCUUACCAUGGCAACGAUGGGUAGGGGUCCUGAGAGGGAGAUCCCCCACACUGGUACUGAGACACGGACCAGACUCCUACGGGAGGCAGCAGUGAGGAAUAUUGGACAAUGGGCGCAAGCCUGAUCCAGCCAUGCCGCGUGCAGGAUGACGGUCCUAUGGAUUGUAAACUGCUUUUGUACAGGAAGAAACACUCCCUCGUGAGGGAGCUUGACGGUACUGUAAGAAUAAGGAUCGGCUAACUCCGUGCCAGCAGCCGCGGUAAUACGGAGGAUCCAAGCGUUAUCCGGAAUCAUUGGGUUUAAAGGGUCCGUAGGCGGUUUAAUAAGUCAGUGGUGAAAGCCCAUCGCUCAACGGUGGAACGGCCAUUGAUACUGUUAAACUUGAAUUAUUAGGAAGUAACUAGAAUAUGUAGUGUAGCGGUGAAAUGCUUAGAGAUUACAUGGAAUACCAAUUGCGAAGGCAGGUUACUACUAAUGGAUUGACGCUGAUGGACGAAAGCGUGGGUAGCGAACAGGAUUAGAUACCCUGGUAGUCCACGCCGUAAACGAUGGAUACUAGCUGUUGGGAGCAAUCUCAGUGGCUAAGCGAAAGUGAUAAGUAUCCCACCUGGGGAGUACGUUCGCAAGAAUGAAACUCAAAGGAAUUGACGGGGGCCCGCACAAGCGGUGGAGCAUGUGGUUUAAUUCGAUGAUACGCGAGGAACCUUACAAGGCUUAAAUGUAGUUUGACCGAU